GAUCCGAGAUCGUGCGCACCACCACCGCUCGAGCCGGCAGCGUUAGCAGGGGCAGCGUGCGAAGACCCCGACACGCGAACCCACUCUCCGGCUUGUCCAUCCCCGACCGAACCAAGCAGCAGCCGGCCGAUCGUCUCCGCCGCCGCCCCGCCGGCGACCCGGGAGGCAGUACGCAGUAGAGGGAUCCGGGGGCGAUGCGGCCGCAACGGGGCGUGGGCGGCGGCGGCGGCGGCCGGAGGGAUCCCGGGCUGAUGACGAGGGCUGUGGACAAGGUCUUCCGCUUCGUCCGCCUCGCCGAAUUCGAGAUCCUCUUCGUCCUCUUCUUCCUCAUCGCCUUCAUCCUCUUCAAGGAUCUCAUGUCACGGCCAGACUACAACCAGAUCUUUGUCAAGAAGCCUGAUCUAGACGACCGCUGGCCUUAGAGGUUUUCCGAAAGAUUCAGUCGCUCACCAUUGCUUCUGUGCAUGUUUUGGAUAUGUUUUUCUCUCCAUUUAUUCUGCGUGACAUCCCCAUGAGUUCUAAGCGAAGCUUGGUGCAAUGGAAUGCAUUCGUCAUUGAUGUGUGCCAAACAUUGACUCAGACGAAGGCAUCAUACAAAUCAAAAUGGAGGGUCGAAGUCACUGUUGCUGCUGCUGCACUUGCCAUUCCUGAAUCGCGAAACGAAGGGCGUUGUUCGGUAUUAACUCACGGUGUGUGAACCUGAGGUAGGUCAUGGGGGACAU
Non-coding RNA from Lolium perenne, 722 nucleotides. NCBI's taxonomy places the organism in Eukaryota, Viridiplantae, Streptophyta, Magnoliopsida, Poales, Poaceae. The record is from RefSeq and is a predicted model, not a curated record.